This 482-nucleotide ribosomal RNA is filed under the name uncultured bacterium. Its description in RNAcentral is "partial 16S ribosomal RNA". It matches the Rfam family "Bacterial small subunit ribosomal RNA", at positions 30 to 507 of the family's 1533-position model. The record is from RNAcentral.
AUUGAACGCUGGCGGCAUGCUUUACACAUGCAAGUCGAACGGUAACAGGCCGCAAGGUGCUGACGAGUGGCGCACGGGUGAGUAAUGCAUCGGAACGUGCCCAGUCGUGGGGGAUAACUACUCGAAAGAGUAGCUAAUACCGCAUACGAUCUAUGGAUGAAAGCGGGGGACCGUAAGGCCUCGCGCGAUUGGAGCGGCCGAUGUCAGAUUAGGUAGUUGGUGGGGUAAAGGCUCGCCAAGCCAACGAUCUGUAGCUGGUCUGAGAGGACGACCAGCCACACUGGGACUGAGACACGGCCCAGACUCCUACGGGAGGCAGCAGUGGGGAAUUUUGGACAAUGGGCGCAAGCCUGAUCCAGCAAUGCCGCGUGCAGGAAGAAGGCCUUCGGGUUGUAAACUGCUUUUGUACGGAACGAAACGGCUCUGGUUAAUACCCGGGGCUAAUGACGGUACCGUAAGAAUAAGCACCGGCUAACUACGUG